CUAAUACAAACACAUCUUUUUAUUCUCAAAAAGUAUGUCAACUAUUGAAUUUAAUGAAGUUUAAUGGAAUCACUUUAAAAGCUGAUUCUUACUAAUGUUGGGGAUUAUGCCUCGUAAAUGAUGUCUAUUUUAUAAAAGAAAAAAAUACUAGAGAUUCAAAUUCCCCAUAUCUUCUUUGAAGGCCAAAGGCAAUGGGAACACUUUUGCUAUAUGAUAAUUCUAACAAAUGCAAGCUGGGGAAAUCAAGUUAUUUGCUGGAAAAAGAUGUGGCAGUUGGAUUCUGUUCUGGAAUUAUAUUCUUCUCUGAAUCUCAGGAACUAAGGAUGCAUAGUUCCUGCUGGAGUUCUCCUGUAGCCUGGAGACAAUCUUGUAAACACAAACCUCUGUUAACCUAGAGAACCACAAGGACCGUUAGGAACGGUUAUCUAAUCAGAACACCAAAAAGGGGAUUAUUGUUGAAUCAGGAAACAACAGCCAGUAAUGCAUGAACAGCUGAACAAAACCGAGUCAUGCUACAAAACAUCACCUUGGAUUUUAAGAAAAAAAAUGGUUGCACUCCGACAACUGAGUACAGCCCUCAGCUCAUGCUCUCUCCAAAAUGAAUUAGUAGAGCUAGUUGGAAGAGGUUUCCGGCAUGCUAGAAACUCCCCCAGCAGUCAAACAACAUGCACAAUUGAACUGCUAUAUCUGGGAAGGCUCACUAGCACCCUUUCCUUUACGAACUCAGCUGCAGCCAGAGUCCUUCAGAGAUUCCAAAUUAGUCUAGUCAUCUUUCAACAGUUUCACUAAAGAAAGCAAAACCAAAAUAACCAAGCCAAACAAAAAUAAACAAAAAGUCUCCUAACA
RNAcentral lists this long non-coding RNA (846 nucleotides) under Numida meleagris (helmeted guineafowl). Its description in RNAcentral is "lncRNA (ENSNMEG00000006576.1)". The record is from RNAcentral. Lineage: Eukaryota; Metazoa; Chordata; Aves; Galliformes; Numididae.